Molecule: transfer RNA, 66 nt
Filed under: Dietzia maris
Lineage: Bacteria; Bacillati; Actinomycetota; Actinomycetes; Mycobacteriales; Dietziaceae
Also listed under: 1 other name
Rfam family: tRNA
About the family: Transfer RNA (tRNA) molecules are approximately 80 nucleotides in length. Their secondary structure includes four short double-helical elements and three loops (D, anti-codon, and T loops).
Source: RNAcentral
CCGUAGCUCAAUGGAUAGAGCACUUGACUACGGAUCAAGAGGUUAGGGGUUCGAGUCCCUUCGGGC